CUAAUCACAUACCCAAUCAUCUUACGGAAUUUCAACAAUUACUGUUGGAGAAAUCUAGAGUUGGUUUUGAUAAGCCUGAGGAUGCUCUUAGAUUGUUUGAUAAAAUGCUCCGUAUGAAACCUCUGCCUAGUGUCAUCAACUUUACUCAACUCUUGUCCGCCCUUGUCAAGAUGAAACAUUACUCUGUGGCUGUCUCCGUCUUUUCAAACAUGUGCUCUUUUAGCAUUCCUGUUAAUAUAAUUACUUAUAGUAUUGUAAUCAACUGUUGUUGCCAUUUGAAACGUGUUGAUUAUGGCUUUGCGCUGUUGGCUGCCAUCUUUAAGCGUGGUUUUGUCCCAGAUGUUGUUACCUACACAACUCUUCUUAGGGGUCUCAUUUCCCAGGACAAGUUUCUCGAGGCUGAGCUUAUGUUCUCUUACCUUCUCCAGCACAAUCAGAUUGAGCCUGAUGCAGUUAUCUUUACCACGAUUACUAAUGGCCUCUGCAAAACAGGCAACACCUCCCAGGCUAUGAGGUUGCUUAGAUACAUGGAGAAGAAAGGUUGUAUGCCGGGCCUAGUCACUUACAACACUAUUAUUGAUAGUAUGUCCAAAGACAGAUUAGUCGAUGAUGCUUUGGGUCUUCUUGCUGAAAUGAGUGACAAAGGCAUUCAACCAAGUGUUGUAACCUAUAGCUCUUUAAUUCAUGGCAUGUGCAACCUCAAUCGGUGGGAUGAUAUAACACAAUUGUUAAAAGAUAUGGACAGACACAAAAUUUCUCCAGAUAAGCAUACCUACAGUAUAUUGGUUGAUGCACAUGCCAGAGAUGGAAAGGUCAAAGAUGCUGAGUAUCUGAUUGAGUUAAUGAUUCGAAGAGGCCAAAAUCCUGAUGUAGUCACCUACAGUGCACUUAUGGAUGGAUACUGCUUGAGAGGAGAAUUGGAUAAAGCGUUUGCAGUGCUCAGUACCAUGAUAAGUAAGGGGAUUUUUCCUGACACUCAGACCUAUACUAUAUUGAUCAAUGGUUAUUGUAAGAAGAUGAAAGUAGACACAGCGAUACAUCUCUUAGAAGAAAUGACCCUGAAAGGUUUAACACCUACAGUUGAAACGUACAAUACUAUUCUGGAUGGGUUAUUUCGUGCGCGUAGGCUUAAUGAAGCACAUAAGUUUUAUAAGAAUAUGUUAAAUCAAGGUGUUAAACUGAAUAUAGUGACAUGCAGGAUCUUGUUGCAUGGACUUUGCUGCAAUGGACUUGCUGGUGAAGCAAUGUCUGUGUUUCGUGACAUGGAGUCAUGUGGCUUACUUCCUGAUAUACACAUUUAUAAUAUUCUGAUUCAUGGAUUGUUCAAGGACGGCAAGGUUGACGAGGCCAGAAGCCUUUUUCAUAAUCUUCGUUUGAAGGGUUUACGGCCUAGUGUCAUAUCUUACAACAUUAUGAUCCAAGGAUUCUGUCAAGAGGGGUUGCUGGAAGAAGCAUAUAAAAUACUUUUGGAAAUGGAAGAAAACAAUUGCUUGCCUAAUGAAGUUACAUACAACACUCUUAUCCGUGGAUGCUUUAAGAAUAAGAAGUAUGAUGGAGCUUGUGUACUUAUAGAUGAGAUGUUUGCUCAUGGUUUCAAAGCAGAUGCCUCUACCACCUCCAUGCUAUUCGAUUUGCUGCAAUCGAAGGAGCAGGACCCCGCACUCCUUGCUAUGAAGAAGAAAUUCAUGCCUUGACUACAUCAAGGAAAGAGUUUAUUAAGGUACACAAUACUUUAAAGUUGCCAGAACACUCUGCAGCAUUAUAAUUUACUUGCAUUACAUUGUAAAUUGUGAUCACUCUGCAAUCUGAUGAUGCAAACACUCUGCAGCAUUAUAAUUUGCUUGCAUUACAUUGUAAGUUUGUCUUCUAUUUUUGGCAGUCUACUAAUAGUUACUUUAAGUGCUGUAUGGCUAACAUGUAGUUGCAUAAAGGUGUCUUGAGUGCAGCAAAUGUGAAGUACACCAACAUUUUCAUUCAUCUUAUUGAUAUAUUAGUUCUUAAUAUAUUAUAUAUUGUAUUCGUUAUCUCUUUCUAAGUUUAAAAUCUCUUUUAAAAUACAGGAAAUGGAUCCAAAAUACUAUCCUCUGUUUCUAAAUUUGUUUACAGUUUCAAAUAAUAAACUUGUUUUCAUUUUUACUAUAUUCACAAAGUACCAGAGUGCCCACCCCAGGAGCUUCCAUGAUUUAAUCGUCACAAUUUUAUCUUUGACUGAUACAGGGGUUGUGUUAGGCUGCCCAUUAGCAGUUUCAGCUUUGAUCGCGAACGCCCCUAUACCCCUGCUUCAUCUAUAGCUAAUUAGCAACUCCAACAGUUACUUUAUAAGCUAUUGAACUUACUUGAAUCACGAGAGCAGGAUCCUGGCGCUCCUUGAAUCAAUUUCACUGUUUCUUAAUCGGAUCAGGGUGUUUAUAUAUUAGUUGUUCCUUGAAUCAACAACUUUAUGAUGAAAUAAUUGCUGGAAGAAGCAUAUAAAAUGCUUUUGGAAUUGAAAGAAAAUAAUUGCUUGCCUAGUGAAGUUACAUACAACACUCUUAUCUGUGGCUGCUUUAAGAAUAAGAUGUAAGAUGGAAGUUGUGUGCUUAUAGAUGAGACGUGUGCUCAUUGUUUUUCUGCAGAUGCCUCUACCACCUCCAUGCUAUUCGAUUUGCUGCAAUCAAAAGAGCAGGAACCCGGUCUCCUUGCGUUGCACAAGAAGUUCAUGCCUUGACUUUAUCAAGGAAAGAGUUCUGUAAGCUACAACGUACUUCUAAAUCGCUACAACUUUGUAAUAGUUUGCUACCAAAUUGGAAGUCAGAAAUUGGAAGUAAACCUUUUGCCCUUAUCUUCAGUGCUGUUAUAUAGAAAGCUCUUAAAUCCUCAUGCUUAACACUUCACCUAAACAUAAAGUCUAACGUAUCCGUGCUUUUAUUAUCCUGCGACUCUGCUUGACCAUGUAUUAAUGUUACAAUCCAACUUUAUGAAAAUUGGUGUGAUACAGUCUUUCAGUAAAGCCUUGAAGUGAAGACAUAUAUUACUCUGAAUAUUGUUGAAAUGAGGUAUGAAAAAUUGUGAUUCUGCAACUGUUCAGAUAAACAGAGUUGUCCGCACACUGUACAUGUUGACUAGGAUUCUAAUUAGUGAACCUGGAGUUCAUGCAUCAGCAACGCAACUCUCUUACAAUACAAAAAUUGCAUCCUCUGCACAAUAAAGUUAUGUCACAAAAUUUCGGAAAAUUUUCGUGUGAGUAGACAUGAUUUUAUUAUUGAGUUUGGGAGAGUCUCUAUAUGAUUGUGGUGUCUCAACAAUAAAGGGAAUCCAGGCACUGCUUUAGAAAAAAAAGGGUCCGGAUCCCUGACAUUCGUACAUAAGCUACUAAUAAUCGAAUAUUCUGGACCAACAUCCAAAAACGAGGGAGUCUGAAAUAUCCUGUGAUGCUCGGACUCUCCGGAAAACCCUGCCGUACCCGUGUCCACAGGACAUGACACUGACAGUGACACUGGGAUUCGGAUCCGAACGUCAUCCAGGAAUCAGACUCUCCAUCUUAGACAACCUAUCUCUAAUUUCAGUGACAUAUCUUUAAGAGGAAGAUAGGAAUAAGAAAAUAUACGAAGAAACAGAGAUGAAAUGGAUGUAAAAGGAGAAAAGAAGCAACUCUUGACUUGAUUGUUUGUUAUGCAGUGUAAUAGAAUGAUAAUUAUUUAUUUAUAAGAACCAUCAUAUUAAUUAAAAAUAAUAAUUGCAGUGUCCAAAUCCAAGUGUCGGAUCCAUAUAAAACGCGUCCCCGAGUCUUUAAUUUUGUAGUUCGAAAGAUCUGACACCCUGAUAUGUGUCCGUGUCGGAUCCUUCUAAAAGAGUCUGAGCAUCAUAGGAAAUAUCUGAUACUCUGCCCCCUAUUCAUUGCCGCUACUGUCGAGGAUAUAUAUUAUUUCGGGCACCCCAUGACCAUUUCUGGACUAAUUCACAGGAAAAUGUGAACGUUGUGUAUGCAAUGAUGAUUAGUCCAUAUUUUUGCAUAUUUAAGUGCCUAUUUUUUGUUUAUUUUCGUAGUAUUAAUCGUUUAUUUAUUUUAUUUCAGGAAAUUGUUGAUAAAUAAAGAAAGAAGAAAAAGUGCAAGAAAAUGGAAGAAAAAGAAAAGAAAAGAAGAAAAUCAAAAAGAGUUGGCAAGCAAGGGGACACAUGGAGGGCUAUGAUCUACCCAACACACAUCACACAUGGAUGGAUUAGAUUUAGCCACCCUACCCCUAAACCCUAGAAUUCUAGUUAUAAAUACCCCCACCCCUUACUUGUAAUCACAAUCUUUUUAACCUAGUUUUUUCCUAGUUGGUAGGUAGUAUAGUGCUAGAUCUUCUUUUGCCUCUCAAUUUCAUACCAUAAUUGUAAACACUUUUUAUUUUAGUGCAAAUUUUCUUUUAGCUUGAUCUUGUGUUGUCUCUAUUUUCUUUCUACAAGUAAUAUGAUUCUUAGUACCAAUUUUUAGUUUUAAUUUUUUUUAGAUGGUAAAAGCUCUAGCACAAAAAUGAUUUGUGUGGGGGUUUGGCUUUAAAUUUCAAGAUUACUAACAUAAUAUUAAUUCAGCAUUUCUUUAAUUUAUUAAACAAGUUUAGUAGCACAGAUUAAUAUGCUUUGGUUUAGUUGUUUUUAAAACCCAUUUCGUUAGUUUUUAUUAAAACAAAACUCCACUCCCCUGUUUUCAUUCUUAAAAACCCCACUGCUCUGUUUUUGUACCGAGUCACUGAGUCAACUCGCCCGCGUUCACCGAGUCACAGCGUUUUCAUCAUUUACUUCACAGUUUGAGUUUGUUUUAAGUCGAGUAUUGAGUCUGGUUCCCUGUCUUGCUGGGUUUGUAUGCGCUGCCAUUGUUGCUUCGAGUUGCUUGCUGCGUUUCUGCACCGAGUUGUCGAGUCCUGGCGAGUUACGAGUUUUUUUUGUUUUAUCUUGCUGCGUUGUACUUUUCUGGGUCCUGUAGUUCGAGUAUGAGUCAGUUUCUGUAGUUUUCACCGAGUCUGUUAUGCUUUACCGUUUGAGUUGUUUUGUGCGUCCGAGUUUGAUGAGUCGCUGCACUGAGUCGUGUCCGAGUCACCAUCCCGAGUCGCUCUUUCUUUGUUUACGUUGUUUCUGCUGCGUUCUCUUCUUGUUGCUUGGUUGAGUUUAGUUUCUGUGGUCUUGUGUAAUAUAUUAGUCCUGUUUUCGAGUUUUGGCUGAUUUUUUAGCGUUCAUUUGAGUCUGUUUUCACUGCUGAGUCGCAUUUUCUGUUCCCUGAGUCACGAGUUUGAGUAGUUUUUGCUGCGUUUUUGCUUCAAAACUUGUGAAUUCGUUUUCUCUGUAGCCUGUGAUUCAGUUUUUCUUUCGGUCGAGUCAGUUGUAGCAAGUGUUUAGAGUAAUCUGAGUUCAUGUCGAUUUGCUGGUUUUAUGCGUUUUUGCCGAGUCUGCUCUGCUUUUUUUUUGCUUAAUUACUGAGUCAUCUCCGAGUCGUUCACUGUUUCUGUCGGGUUUAGUCUUGUUUACCUGGGUUGUUAAAGUUUGGUUUGAGCUUUUGUUCGAGUCUGUUUUGAAUCGCAGCAUCGAGUCAUCUGUCAAGUCGCUUAUUAGUGUUUUUAGAGUCCUGUAGUUCUGAGUUUUUGUGUCGAGUCACUGAGUGAAACACCGAGAUUAGCUGUUUCCUGAGUUCUGUUUUUGUUUGGAUGGCUGAGUCGAGUGUCUAAUUCUCGCGUCUGGUAGUAUAGUUGUUGAGUUUGUUGGUUUUGUUGAGUUUUAUGUGUGCUGUGUACUCCAAGUUCCGAGUCUGUUUUGUAGCUGUCGAGCUCGCGUCACUGAGUCCUGCUAUCUCCUUGCUUUCGUUUAUGCAGAUUAGUAGAGUGUUAGUCCGAGUUCAGUUGUUUCUCUCCCGAGUCCAUUCAUUCUGCUGCUGCGUUAGUUUAAAAUCAGGGUCCUUUCUUGUUUAGCUAGAUUCUUAGUCGAGUAUUAAGUCUGGUUGCUGGGUCCUGUUUCAAGUUUUGUUAAAGUUUGAAUUGGUUUUCUGCCGAUUAUGUUUAGAAGUCGCAGAGUUUAGUUUCCUGAGUUUAGGAUUAGAUUUGUUGCGUCUGUUUGUCUAGGAGCUACUGUGUCAAGUGAUAAGUUUGAUUAUUUUAAGUAGUUUUGUUUUUGUUUCCAUUUCAUUUCGUCAAGUUGCAGCCCUGUUCUUGGUUGCUGGGUUUGUUAUUUAUGUUUAUUCCCCUGCAAGUUCAUGGUCGAGUACCAGUAUUGCUAUAUAUUUUGUUUUAUUCGCUGAGUUUACAAGUUUGUUUUUGGUAGAAAUAGUGUUGGCCAGUUGAAAUUUCAAGUUGAUUAAGCCACUCUAUUUACAGUCUGAUAUGUGCUUUAGUCCGAGUGAUCACGUGCUUAAUUAAUUUUGAAUUAUUAAUCUUGGUAAUUAGUUUCGAUUAAUUAAAGUUAAUUAGUUUAGUUUUUUUAAAUUAACGUUAUAAUAAGUAAAAUUAGUGUUAAAAUUUACCUUCUUCACACCAAUUCAUUGUUCUAAUUCGCCUAGAUUUUAAUUAAAGGAUUUGCGAAAAUUAAUUUUUAAUCUCUGUGGACGAAUCAUAAAUACUAAAACGAAGAUCGUGCGCUUGCGAUUUAUAAGGUAAUAUUUCUAGCACAUCAAAUGACAGGAGACAAAAAACAGCUUGGUAGCUCUUUUUGCCUUGGCUGAAAUCAUGGCCCAGUGUCACUUCUCUGCUUGUUACCAUGUCCUCUUUUUACCCAUAAUUAAACAACUCGAAUAAUAACUCUUCAAGUUUCUGGAUAUUUACCUCGAAAAAAAAUCAUGAUCUUCAUGAUUUGUGAUAUCCAUUUUCCGACAGUAUCUUAGUUGGAGUUUUUGUAGGCAUCCGUGCUUGCCUUAUCCUGCGAGACCACGAACCAAUGCUGCCAUCCAACAUUAUGAUAAAUUUGUUAUGACUCGUGAGUCUGUGACAUGAUUUAUGCGGAACCAGCCCAUGGCUGGGGUGGGCUGCAGCCCGGGUGGUUUCAAAAAUUACUAAAAAUUUUAUACAUAACUUCAGUCCAAACUGUUAAACAGCCCAGGUGAAAAAGAGAGAAAGGGACCACAUGAAGCAAAGUUUCAUCUGUCCCUCCUGUUAAUGCUUACUCCUAGCUAGAAUAACUUGAGCCCCUGCAAUUUCUUUAUAACUUGAAAACUAUGAUUCUUAUUUAAUAUAAUAUUUUAUGUAUGAGAGCGGUUGAACAUAUUUCUUCUUUAAAUAUGGUGCAGUAAUCACUAAACACAUGAUUAUUUUAUUCUAAAAAAAUUGAUUUCUAAAAAAUAAAAAGUUUUACUUCUCAUAAUAUAAAAUCUUUAGUUCACAUGAAGAUGACAGACUAAGCCAGAACAUAAGGCCUUGACUUGAAGUGAAAACAUAUGAUACCAUAUACAGACAUCAAGUCUGAGUAAUCUUGAAAUCAGAUACGAAACAUGGUGAUUCUGCAUUUUUUCAGAGAAACAGAGGCAUGGAUCAUGGUGAAAGACACACUUGUGUCCACACUGUACAUGUUGACCAACCAAGAUUCCUAAUUAGUUAAACUGGAGUUAUUCAUCAUUGUUUUUGUCACUUUCUUACCAACAUAGAGCAACACAUGUCUCGGUGGCAUCCCGGGCAAAAAUAUUAAAAAUAUAAUAAUAAUAAAAAUAAAAAUGAUUUAUAGAUAACUUAUAGAGUAUCAUAAGAUUAAAAACAUAGUAAUACAAAUAAAAGUGAUUUACAGAUAACUUAUGCUAUAAAAUUAAUUUUUAAAAAGGUUUAAUAUACUGAAGAAAGUAUCAUAGAUAAAUAUUUUUCGAUUUAAAAUCAAAUAUGAUUUAAAAUCUGAAUUUUAAGCCUAAACAAAUAGACUCCUGUCACCCAACAAUCGCGACAACAUAAAGGAACAAAAAUCUCACUUUAUCUUCAUUAUAAUUUCUUGUAAUAAUGUAGCUUAACUAACUUCUAACUUAAAGUUAGUUUCUUGCAAUUUCUAACUUUAAACCACUUCUAACUUAUACAAACAAACAUUUUUCACCUUAAAGUCGAAAAUGAUUUAAAUUUCACGUUUUAAGCCCAAACAAAAAGGCUCUAACGGUAUUUCUUUAUCUUUUGAGUUGUUCCGUCGGAUCGGUCGCUCAAGAUCUUUGGUCUCUAUCCGGACCCGAUGAAAGAAAUGGGAUCACUUCUUAUGCACUCGUUGAGAAUGAUUCUGAUCCUCGCGGAAAGAAAAAGAUUGCAGUCAGUUUGAUAAUGAUCGAGUGACACCAAGGAAUCCCUUAGAUAUGAUCCAAAACGGUGUAAACUGAGAGUUUAAAAUAUUUAUUUGAAUAAUUUUUAUUUAUUAAUGAUAUGUGAGUUAUUAAAAAUAUAAUAAUAAAGAAAGUGAUUUGUGGAUAAGUUUCGAGAUUCAUCUUCUUUUUCACAUUUUAAAGGUCUUAUUUAUAAUAUAAUAUUCAGAGACAUUAUAAUUUAAAUAAUCACCCUAUAAUAUUAUGUAUUGUUUUUAUACAUAAUCCAAAUAUAAACUUAAAAGCGGAUUUAGAUUUGUUCAUACAGCCCUUUCUUAGCUAUGAUGUGGUGGNNNNNNNNNNNNNNNNNNNNNNNNNNNNNNNNNNNNNNNNNNNNNNNNNNNNNNNNNNNNNNNNNNNNNNNNNNNNNNNNNNNNNNNNNNNNNNNNNNNGAAGAGGGCUUUCACCUCCUGCUUCACUUCAAACACUCUCCUUCCAUUCCCAAGACUUAGGUACGAAUAAUAUUACUGCUACUACUACUAUUACGUUGCUUUCGAUUGCAUUCACUUUGUCAAUCCCCCACUUGCCCUAACCCUAAUCACAUACCCAAUCAUCUUUCGGAAUUUCAACAAUUACUGUUGGAGAAAUCUAGAGUUGGUUUUGAUAAGCCUGAUGAUGCUCUUCGAGUGUUCGAUAAAAUGCACCGUAUGAAGCCUCUGCCUAGUGUUGUCGACUUUACUCAACUCUUGGCCGCCCUUGUCAAGACGAAACAUUACUCCGUGGCUGUCUCCGUCUUUUCAAAGAUGUGCUCUUUUGGCAUUCCUGUUAAUAUAGUUACUUAUAGUACUGUUAUCAACUGUUGUUGCCAUUUGAAGCACAUUGAUUAUGCCUUUGCGCUGUUGGCUGCCAUCUUUAAGCGUGGUUUCAUCCCUACUAUCGUUACAUACACAACUCUUGUUAGGGGGCUCGUUUCCCAGGACAAGUUUCUCGAGGCUGAGCUUAUGUUCUCUUACCUUCUCCAGCACAAUCAAAUUGAGCCUGAUGCAGUUAGCUUUAACACCAUUAUUGACGGCCUCUGCAAAACAGGCAACACUUCCCAGGCUAUGAGGUUGCUUAGGUACAUGGAGAAGAAAGGUUGUAUGCCGUGCGUAGUAACUUACAACACUAUUAUUGAUAGUUUGUCCAAAGACAGAUUAGUCGAUGAUGCUUUGGGUCUUCUUGCUGAAAUGAGUGACAAAGGCAUUCAACCAAGUGUUGUAACCUAUAACUCGUUAAUUCAUGGUAUUUGCAACCUCGAUCGGUGGGACGAUAUUAGCAAAUUGUUCAGAGAUAUGGACAGACACAAAAUUUCUCCAAAUAUGCAUACCUACAGUAUAUUGGUUGAUGCACAUGCCAGAGAUGGAAAGGUCAAAGAUGCUGAGUAUCUGAUAGAGUUAAUGAUUCGAAGAGGCCAACAUCCUGAUGUAGUCACGUAUAGUGCACUCAUGGAUGGAUACUGCUUGCGGGGAGAAUUGGAUAAAGCGUUAGUGGUGCUCAGUACCAUGAUAAGUAAGGGGAUUUUGCCUGACACUCAGACCUAUACUAUAUUGAUCAAUGGUUAUUGUAAGAAGAUGAAAGUAGACACGGCAAUAACUCUCUUAGAAGAAAUGCCCAUGAAAGGUUUAACACCUACAGUUGAAACGUACAGUACUAUUUUGGAUGGCUUAUUUCGUACGCGUAGGCUUGAUGAAGCACAUAUGUUUUAUAGGAAGAUGUUAAACCAAGGUGUUAAACUGAAUAUAGUGACCUGCAGGAUCUUGUUGCAUGGACUUUGCUGCAAUGGACUUGCUGGUGAAGCAAUGUCCGUGUUUCAUGACAUGGAGUCAUGUGGCUUACUUCCUGAUAUACACAUUUAUAAUAUUCUGAUUCAUGGAUUGUUCAAGGACGGCAAGGUUGACGAGGCCAGAAACCUUCUUCAUAAUGUUCGUUUGAAGGGUUUACACCCUGAUUUCAUAUCUUACAACAUUAUGAUCCAAGGAUUCUGUCAAGAGGGGUUGCUGGAAGAAGCAUAUAAAAUACUUUUGGAAAUGGAAGAAAACAAUUGCUUGCCUAAUGAAGUUACAUACAACACUCUUAUCCGUGGAUGCUUUAAGAAUAAGAUGUAUGAUGGAGCUUGUGUACUUAUAGAUGAGAUGUGUGCUCAUGGUUUCAAAGCAGAUGCCUCUACCACCUCCAUGCUAUUCGAUUUGUUGCAAUCGAAGGAGCAGGACCCCGCACUCCUUGCUAUGCAGAAGAAGUUCAUGCCUUGAGUACAGCAAUGAUAGAGUUUAUUAAGGUACAAAAUACUUUUAAAUUGACAGAACUUUGUAAUAGUUUGCUACAAAAUUUUAAAUCAAUUGCAGUUGUGAUAUUGGAGUUGAUAAAAUAUUUAAUUUUGUUAAAUAUGUACUGGGGAAAUGGUGGCCUUGUUGUAACUAUUGUUGUAUAAACCUAUCUGUAACUAUUGUUGUAAAAUAUAAAAACAAUUCUGAGACAAUGAGAAAGGCUGUCACUAUAUCCUUUUUUACGCCCUAGAGUCAUAUCCUACAACUUUAUGAUCAAUCAACUACUGGAAGAAGCAUAUAAAAUGCUUUUGGAAAUGAAAGAAAAUAAUUGCUUGUCUAGUGAAGUUACAUACAACACUCUUAUAAGUGGCUGCUAUAAGAAUAAGAUGUAUGAUGGAAGUUGUGUGCUUAUAGAUGAGACGUUUGCUCAUUGUUUUUCUGCAGAUGCCUCUACCACCUUCAUGCUAUUCGAUUUGCUGCAAUGAAAAGAGCAGAAACCCGGUCUCCUUGCCUUGCACAAGAAGUUCAUGCCUUGACUACAUCAAGGAAAGAGUUUUGUAAGCUACAAAGUACUUCUAAAUCGCUAUAACUUUAUAAUUGUUUGCUACGAAAUUUGAAGGCAAUAAAAAUUUGAAGUAAACCUUUUGCCUUUAUCUUCAGUGCUAAACAUAAAGGCUAACAUAUCUGUGCUUUUAUUAUCCUGAGACUCUGCGAGACCAUGUAUUAGUGCUACAAUCCAACAUUAUGAAAAUUGUUAUGACUCAGUGAUUCAGUCUUUCAGUAAAGCCUUGAAGCGAAAACAUAUAUUACUCUGAAUAUUGUUGAAAUGUGGUAUGAAAAAUUGUGAUUUAACAUAAAAUAGAUUUUAACAGCAUAAAAUUAUGUGUUUGUGAGUAUUAUAACAGGAUCAUUCAGUACAUUUUUCAACUUAUAAGCUAAACCAAACAGAUUUUCCACUCUUGUCAUCUAGAAUAGAUCAUUAAUUAUAUAAUAUCGCCAUACCUUGAAUGCAUAAACGGAACCGAGGGUGUCUACUACUGUUAUAACAAGAUUUAACAUUCUAUUAACGCCGACUAUAUCAAAAUUCUGGUUCCAAAACUAAACCAGAAGUACAAAAUCAGAAUAUCAGAAGCAGCCUCUGAUAACUUACUCCACCAUUAUACAUGGAAGUAGUCUCGUCAACAGGAAAUCUGAAGAAGCACUUAUUCUGAUAUAAAGCAGGCGUGCUAGCGGUUUCUCUGCAGAUGUAUCCCAAAAUCCACGGGACUUGACCUUUUUUCAACAGAAGGAAUGGUAUCAUCUGUCCUUGCUUUCUGUAAAUGGUGUUUACUCUACGUACUGAAAUUAAUGGCUUAAUAUUGAGUAAAUCUGCUUCAUCAUAUCACUCUUCACUCCCACAUGAAUACGUCUCCCUAACAUAUUAUUACUGCUCAAAUAUGCUUGAAAGUUAGUAAUCUUACGGUAACAUCUAUGAAACAUCUCAUCCGUUUAAUGAUAGAGUGAGAAUGUACCUGCUUGAUGUGCUGCUAUUAGCUUAGUCAAUUGAUCAUCAUCAACAAACUUAUCCGAUGUUAUUAGCUCAGCCAAUUGAUCAUCAUCAACAAACUUAUCCGAUGCAUAUAUUUAUUAAUAGUGGAAAAUGGAAUUGAUUUAUAAGGUAGAUAUUUAUAUAUUGGGCAAAUUAAUUUUAACGAAAUUAUUAACAAUUUUUUUUUCUAGGUUCCUGAUCUAUAAAUAAAAAUAGAUAAGUAAUUGAACUUUUGAAUUUUUUCUAUCAAAGUUUUAAAUUUUUAUGAACGUCCAUUUUGCUGAUGUGGCAAGUUUAAAAAUAAAUCGAAAAUACAUGUAUUCCGUGUAAGCAGCCUCAUCCCCUACAACUCACCCUUCAACUCACCAUUCUUCCCCAUUUCUCCUCUCUCUCCCUCCUACUUCAUUUUUCACGACCGCUGCCAACCGGAAAGUUUCCAGCGGUCUGACGCCUCCCCCCCCCUCCCCCUACUCCGCCAUGAUCAGCGGUUUUGCCGUCCCUCGAUACCAUUACCCACAUCAACCUCACCAAAAUCACAACAGAAAACUCAUCUCCCUCCCUGCUGUAUUCUCCCCUCCUUCGGCACUUUCUUCCUCCGCGAGAAGCCUAUCGUCGCAGUCGACGGUGGCUCCCGCGCCUCCCUCCUUCAUGUUUUUCCUUUCCUUUUUCUAAUACUGAUCAUUUCUACCCCCGAUCUUCCCCUUCUUUCCAACACAACUUAACUUCACAAAUUCAUCGAUACUUUGAUCACAUAUGAAUUCUAUUCAAUUUAAAUCCUUAGCCCUAGCCUGUUCAGAUUUGGAGAAAACAAAAUUCUGUUGUGAUGAAUCAACUAUUAUUAUUUCAGUUUUAUUUUUUUUGUUUGUCAUGUAAGUAUUGACUAACGGAUGUUAUUGUUUCAGUUUUAUUUUUUUUGUUUGUCAUGUAAGUAUUGACUAACGGAUGUUAGUUGACUUUUAACGGACGGAUCCCAAUGAAAAGUUUGAAAGUUUAAGGAUCGUAUUAUUAAAAAAAAAAAAAAUAGGAUAGGAUCUAGAUAAUAAACAACCUAUAUUUAAAGGACGUUAGAAUUAAUUACCCUUUAUAUAUUUGACACGUUUUGACAUGUGAAAUAUUUUUACCCAUAACAAUAAUAUUUGAAUGCAUUUAUUAUAAAGUUUUAAUAUAUUAAAUUUUGACAAAAAUUUAAAUUUAAAUUUUCUCAAUUUUUCAAAAUAUAUAAUAAAAUUUUCUGAUAAAAAUAAAAUUUCAAAAAUUUGUCCACCAUAUAAGAUUAAAUCCACUCUAAUCUAGGUUAAAUAUCACUUUUCUAAGUAUAAAUAUAUAAUUAUAAUAAGAUGAAUAAUAUAAAAUCAACAUAAGUUAGUAUCCAAUAUGACUAAUUUUUACAAAUUUAUAAUUUUAUGAUAUACUUUAUUAAAGUUAAUAAUUUAUAUUAUUUCAUAAAUAAUUUAAGUGCUUACAGAAUUUUUAAAAUAUGACUAUAAAGACCAAUUACGUAGAUACAAAUGAAAUUGUGCGUACUUCUAUGUAUAAAUACCAAUUAAAUUAUGAAAAUAAUGUAAUUUUAUAUGUACUUUUAUUAUUCUCUUUUUAAUUUUUAUUAUUUCAUAUUGUAGUAUGAUUUAUUAAUAAUAGUUUUACAUUUAUUUUUCAUUCAUACCAUAAAUUAAUAUAGAUUUAUAUUUGAUUAAUUAAUUAAUUAAUUAAAUAUAAAAUAUAUAUAAUAUUUAUUUAUUAAUUUUAAAACAUUUUAAAUUUUCGCAAAUUCUUGCAAACAGUGAUGACAAAGCAAACAUAUACAAUAUAAAUUCAGUAAUUAGGAUAAAAUUAAAUCUAGAUUGUUAAGAUUUUGGAUUUUGAAAUUGAGAAUAGAGAUUUCAUUUGGUGUUUUUCAAACCGAUAAUCUAUUCUUAUUCAAUAAUUCAUGUUAUAAAUUUUUAUAUAUAAUGUUGAAAUGAUCUGUACUUCAAUUUUUAUUUUAAUAAUAUCAUUUUAAUUAAAUAAUAAUUAAUCAAUUCGUAAUACAGGUAUAAUGUUAUUUUAAAAAUGACUAACAUUUUCUUAUAACUAAUCAAAACGACCCCUUCUUGGUAUGAUAUGAGGGGGAGAUACGAAAAUGUGAAAGUAAAAAUUAUUAUUUUUGAAAUUUUUUUUUUGUGAAAAAUAAUAUCAAUCAUAUAAUUUAAUUGUGACAAUCCAGGUCAAAUUCCGAGUUUUUUUCGAAAAUUCGGUCAAGUCCCGAAUCUCGAAAUGCGAAAAAUAAGCCGAAAUAAACUGGCUCAAUUGCAACAACUUGGGUAAUCCACAACAACUUGGGUAAUCCACAAGCCCACCACAGGCCCCCAAAAGAUCAUAAUUUGUUGGGGCAAUUAAUAGUAGUACUUAUGCUUAUAAAUUGAACUAAAGUCUCCACACUUCUCGAUGUGGGACUGGGGUGUUACAAACUCCCCCAUUUAAAUUCCUAACCUCCUAGUCAGGCCGAAACGGAUAGCCCAUAGGCCCAGAUCGAAACUCUCUAGCCAUUGUCCUCAGGCAACUUGACUAAUCAAGCUUUCGAGAGCCUGCUCUAAAUACCAUAUGUGACAACCCGGGUCAAAUCCCGAAUCUUUUUCGAAAAUUCGGGUCAAGUCCCGAAUCUCGAAUCCGAAAAUAAGCCGAAAAUUGCAACAACUUGGGUAAUCCACAAGCCCACCACAGGCCCCCAAAAGAUCAUGAUUUGUUGGUGCAAUUAGUAGUAGUACUUAUGCUUAUAAACUCAACUAAAGUCUUCACACUUCUCGAUGUGGGACUGGGUGUUACAUUUAUUUAAAUAAAAAAAUAUUAAUGAUUUUUAGCAUGAGAUCAAAUGGCUUAAAAAUGUAUGCAAAAAAUUCAAACGACUUAUAUUUGAAUAGUAAACUAUGAUUACUAUCUGAAGUUAAAAAUUACUCUGUUCCUCUAGGUUGUUUAUGUUAAUUGUUUGCAUGUAUUUUGAGACUCGUAUAAAAUAUAAUUUCUUUAUAUGUUUUUCAAAAAAAUUGAAUAAAAAUUCAAAUAUCAAACUUUUAUUUAGGGAAAAAGAAUUUAAAAAUAUAUAUUAGAGGCCAUUUGGUUCACAUGUAAAUAUCCCUCAAAUAUUCUUAGAAAAUAUGUAAGUGAUCGUUUGGUUGACAGUAAGUUACUGGCUAUGUUAAAUGUCUGGGAACUGACCAUCCAUCAAGUUGUUUGAUUAUUAUUUUUAUCGAGAAAUGAUAUUUAUCAUUUAAUUAUUAUAAAAGACAAUAUGAUUAUGAAAAUAUAUUAUCUAAAUAGUUAAAAUACAAACAAAUAAUAUGCAUGUAAUGUCCAAACAUAUGAAUCAAACAAGUUUGUGUUACUUCCCAAGCGAAGAUAGGAAGCAGAAGUUAUUACAAGAAAUUACUUCCAUGAUGAUACCAAACAAAUGCUAAAAUUAAAAUUGUUUGUUUGAGAGCAUCUCCAACCAUACAAAACUCUUAGGUAAAAGAUGAGUUGGCAUGCCAAAUAUAAAAAAUUUAGCCAACCAGUUGAAAAAAUAUCACUCAAAUCACGUCCAUCUGUUGUCUAUAAUUUUAGCCAAUCUCCUAUGGAUGGCUAUAUUUGUCGAUCCGCUAUAGGUCUGUAAGAAAUCUGUAAGAAGAUUACACAUCAUUUAUUAUCAUAUUGAACUGAUAUAUUCUAUUUUAACAAUCUAAAAUAUUAAUAACAUACUAUUUUUAAAUUAUAGCCAAUCAAUAUAGCCAAUACCAUUGAAGCACAAUGUCUUAUAGGUUCAGCAAAUUUUACAUAAUGUCUUACAGGUCCAAUUUAGCCAACGAUUAUAACCAACCACGUUGGAGAUGCUUGACAAAAAAAAUGAAAAUGUAACUUCCAUGAUUUUACUUCCCCCAAACUACUUGGACUUCUUAUACGAAUUAAAAAAGUUAUGUCCCAACCAAACACAUAUAUCAACUUCCUAUUUAUUGUAAUUUACGUAAUAAAUUCAAAUUAUAUUAGAAAUAUCUUCCUAUUAUCAACCAAGCAUUUAAAAAACGGUUUUUCUAUGGUGUGCCCAUGGGCACAUGCUAAGCGCGGAAAUUUUUGUGUUUAGAUCAUUUUGAUUGGCUCAUACUCCUUAAUAAUGAUGGACCCCCCCUGCAAAUACACCAACCACACCAAUCAAAAUGAUCUAAAUGCAAAAAUUUCCGCGCUUAGCAUGUGCCCAUGGGCACACACUAAACAAACCGUUUAAAAAAUUAUAAUUUAAAAAAGUCUUUAAAAAGACUAACCUGAAGAAUUGAGGGGAGAGGGGGAAUACUACAUUUAGCGAUCAUGAAAAAAAACUGAGCAAACGACCCCUUCUUGGCAUGAUUUGAGAGGUUAGAGCAUUUUUAAAGACGAAUGCAAAAAAGAGAAAGUAAACUUGCGAAAAAGGAAAGUAAGUGAGAGACUGAGGAGGAGGAUGUCGAGAAUGCCAAGCGCUUUUACUGCUUGCUUCAGCUCAAACGUUAUUUGUGACAAGGGCUUUCUUGGAUUUAUGAGACACGGUACUCCUGCUCUUACUACUACUAGUUUUUGUUCUGUUAAUACAUUGCUUCGAUUGCAUUCACUUUGUCAAUCCCCCACUUGCCCUAACCCUAAUCACAUACCCAAUCAUCUUUCUUUUGCUGUCUUUCUUUACUGAAACUUGUGCUUUUACCAUUCAUUUUGAUUAACGAAAGUAGCAGACAAUGCGAAAGGCAUUUGUUUUGUUCCGUAAAAUGCUAAAAAUAAGACCUAUAGUACAGCUCCAAUCCAUUAAAAGACUUCUACUACUACUAUUGCGUUGCAUCGAUUGCAUUCACUUUCUCAAUAUCCCACUUGCCCUAACCCUAAUCACAUACCCAAUCAUCUUUCGGAAUUUCAACAAUUACUGUUGGAGAAAUCUAGAGUUGGUUUUGAUAACGGAAUUUCAACAAUUACUGUUGGAAAAAUCUAAGGUUGGUUUUGAUAAGCCUGAUGAUGCUCUUCAAGUGUUCGAUAAAAUGCUCCGUAUGAAACCUCUGCCUAGGGUUAUCGACUUUAAUCAACUCUUGGCCGCCCUUGUCAAGAUGAAACAUUACUCCGUGGCUGUCUCCGUCUUUUCAAAGAUGUGCUCUUUUACCAUUCCUGUUAAUGUAGUCACUUAUAGUACCCGUAUGAAACCUCUGCCUAGUGUUGUCGACUUUACUCAACUCUUGGCCGCCCUUGUCAAGAUGAAACAUUACUCCGUGGCUGUCUCCGUCUUUUCAAAGAUGUGCUCUUUUACCAUUCCUGUUAAUGUAGUCACUUAUAGUACUGUCAUCAACUGUUGUUCCCAUUUGAAACGCGUUGAUUAUGGCUUUGCGCUGUUGGCUGCCAUCUUUAAGCGUGGUUUUGUCCCGGAUGUUGUUAC
RNAcentral lists this long non-coding RNA (17429 nucleotides) under Daucus carota (carrot). RNAcentral's name for it is "long non-coding RNA (DCAR_LNC006018)". Lineage: Eukaryota; Viridiplantae; Streptophyta; Magnoliopsida; Apiales; Apiaceae. The record is from RNAcentral.